RNAcentral lists this long non-coding RNA (218 nucleotides) under Linum usitatissimum (flax). RNAcentral's name for it is "long non-coding RNA (LUSI_LNC000203)". The record is from RNAcentral. Lineage: Eukaryota; Viridiplantae; Streptophyta; Magnoliopsida; Malpighiales; Linaceae.
UACACAGUCGAACAGAAGCCUCCUGAGUUGGUUAUUGCCCUCUUUUUUACUCCCUUUCAUACCAUAAAUGAAGUUGUCACCAUCCGAUCUGAUGUGAAUUGAGAGGGCAUGGAACUCGUCGAGAAGGAAACGUUCCAAUACUGAACUUCUCACUCGAUUUGCACUAUGACGUCCAAAUAAGAGUUCAGCUGUCAAGAUGGUUUCUUUUGCAUGGCCAA